GACGAACGCUGGCGGCGUGCCUAACACAUGCAAGUCGAACGAAGAAUGUUUUUCGGAAUAUUCUUAGUGGCGGACGGGUGAGUAACGCGUGAACAAUCUGCCCCGUACAAAGGGAUAGCCUCGGGAAACCGGGAUUAAAACCAUAUAACACUUAACUGCCGCAUGGUAGUGAAGUCAAAUCGAUUAAGAGGUAUGGGAUGAGUUCGCGUCUGAUUAGCUAGUUGGUGAGGUAAGGGCUCACCAAGGCGACGAUCAGUAGCCGGCCUGAGAGGGUGAACGGCCACACUGGAACUGAGACACGGUCCAGACUCCUACGGGAGGCAGCAGUGGGGAAUAUUGCACAAUGGAGGGAACUCUGAUGCAGCGACGCCGCGUGAGUGAAGAAGGUCUUCGGAUCGUAAAACUCUGUCCUUGGUGAAGAAAGGACGGUAGCCAAGGAGGAAGCCCCGGCUAACUACGUG
This 461-nucleotide ribosomal RNA is filed under the name uncultured bacterium. Its description in RNAcentral is "bacterial SSU rRNA". It matches the Rfam family "Bacterial small subunit ribosomal RNA", at positions 28 to 507 of the family's 1533-position model. The record is from RNAcentral.